This 73-nucleotide transfer RNA is filed under the name Mustela putorius furo (domestic ferret). It matches the Rfam family "tRNA". Rfam says of the family: Transfer RNA (tRNA) molecules are approximately 80 nucleotides in length. Their secondary structure includes four short double-helical elements and three loops (D, anti-codon, and T loops). Further hydrogen bonds mediate the characteristic L-shaped molecular structure. tRNAs have two regions of fundamental functional importance: the anti-codon, which is responsible for specific mRNA codon recognition, and the 3' end, to which the tRNAs corresponding amino acid is attached (by aminoacyl-tRNA synthetases). tRNAs cope with the degeneracy of the genetic code in two manners: having more than one tRNA (with a specific anti-codon) for a particular amino acid; and 'wobble' base-pairing, i.e. permitting non-standard base-pairing at the 3rd anti-codon position. The record is from Rfam by way of RNAcentral. Lineage: Eukaryota; Metazoa; Chordata; Mammalia; Carnivora; Mustelidae.
GCUUGGCCGGCUCAUUUGGUAGAGCAUGUGACUCUUGAUCUCAGGGUUAUGGGUUUGAGUCCCAAGUUAGGCA